GAUCCUUGUUCUACCUCUUCAUCAGAGGAGGAGAUAGAAGAAAACCGUUACAGUACACAUAGACAACUGAAAUGUUUGUUUUUUUAUGUGUCCAAAAGACAGGCAGCUCCCAAUUUCUAAUGUUCCUAUCAAAUUGACUGUUACAAUCUUCACGGGAUUUGUCGCUCAUGUCUGAUGUAGAAUUUGCUGCAGCCUUUCUGAAUUUCACAGCCACAAUGCAUUGGAAGAUGGAGGCUGUGAGUUCUGAUAGCUAGAUCUCUUCAAGUAAACAACUUGGAAGAUGGCGAAUAGUGAAGCUUCUGCGGAGGUGUUCAAAUGAUCUAGGUGAAGGAGUGUGAGUUGGAGGGGCAGUUGUCACGUGCAUGGGUGAAAAAGAACUGGGAGAACCAUAAGCAAAAAUACACGGAGUUGAAAGCUCCCUGCACCAGAGUCAGCACGGAGGGAGGGGAGGCCACAACCGCAUACUGGAAAUGGUAUGCGGUGAUGGAUGAGGUGCUGCAGGGUAUGCCACUCCAUCACCCCACCGGUCAUCAUCUCCUCCUCUCCCUCCCAGAAGGGUCCAGAUGUGGUGGCGGGAGAAGGAUGUGACUGCCAGGGAGGCACGCCGUUUGGCUAUUUUAUAGGCCAUGAUUAAGAAGUAUUUUUAUGUAUUUUAUGCAUAGCUAUUCAGUUAUUCAUUUUCUACUGUUUUUAGUGAAAUCCUUUUUAAAACCCAAAGUGGAUUUCUGUUUUCAUUAAAAAGUAUUUAUUGUUUGUAAUAAAAACAUAUGUUUGAUACCGGUACAUCUACUGUUGUGUUU
This is a non-coding RNA of Oncorhynchus mykiss (rainbow trout), 800 nucleotides long. Lineage: Eukaryota; Metazoa; Chordata; Actinopteri; Salmoniformes; Salmonidae. The record is from RefSeq and is a predicted model, not a curated record.